RNAcentral lists this small nucleolar RNA (241 nucleotides) under Sclerotinia sclerotiorum 1980 UF-70. RNAcentral's name for it is "small nucleolar RNA snR191". Lineage: Eukaryota; Fungi; Ascomycota; Leotiomycetes; Helotiales; Sclerotiniaceae. The record is from RNAcentral.
CUCCAUCGUUAAGUCAAGGCACCUUCUGCAUUAUGUGCUCCUCACAAUGGAAGGAAGUCUGUUACAACUUUGGUAGAUUGAGUUCAUUCUCGCCGCUCUUGGCCCUCGGGUCUUGAGUAGGCAGCUCACCGUCUUGGAGAGUCUGUCGCAAAGAGUUUGAUAAUGUUUCGUUUGAGUUGAAGUCCACUUCCUCUUUAGCUAGUGGCUUGUGGUGGUUUUCUUAGUAAUGAUUCAUACAUCU